RNAcentral lists this ribosomal RNA (869 nucleotides) under Vibrio parahaemolyticus. RNAcentral's name for it is "bacterial SSU rRNA". It matches the Rfam family "Bacterial small subunit ribosomal RNA", at positions 593 to 1533 of the family's 1533-position model. Lineage: Bacteria; Pseudomonadati; Pseudomonadota; Gammaproteobacteria; Vibrionales; Vibrionaceae. The record is from RNAcentral.
UGUGAAAGCCCGGGGCUCAACCUCGGAAUUGCAUUUGAAACUGGCAGACUAGAGUACUGUAGAGGGGGGUAGAAUUUCAGGUGUAGCGGUGAAAUGCGUAGAGAUCUGAAGGAAUACCGGUGGCGAAGGUAAACGAUGUCUACUUGGAGGUUGUGGCCUUGAGCCGUGGCUUUCGGAGCUAACGCGUUAAGUAGACCGCCUGGGGAGUACGGUCGCAAGAUUAAAACUCAAAUGAAUUGACGGGGGCCCGCACAAGCGGUGGAGCAUGUGGUUUAAUUCGAUGCAACGCGAAGAACCUUACCUACUCUUGACAUCCAGAGAACUUUCCAGAGAUGGAUUGGUGCCUUCGGGAACUCUGAGACAGGUGCUGCAUGGCUGUCGUCAGCUCGUGUUGUGAAAUGUUGGGUUAAGUCCCGCAACGAGCGCAACCCUUAUCCUUGUUUGCCAGCGAGUAAUGUCGGGAACUCCAGGGAGACUGCCGGUGAUAAACCGGAGGAAGGUGGGGACGACGUCAAGUCAUCAUGGCCCUUACGAGUAGGGCUACACACGUGCUACAAUGGCGCAUACAGAGGGCAGCCAACUUGCGAAAGUGAGCGAAUCCCAAAAAGUGCGUCGUAGUCCGGAUUGGAGUCUGCAACUCGACUCCAUGAAGUCGGAAUCGCUAGUAAUCGUGGAUCAGAAUGCCACGGUGAAUACGUUCCCGGGCCUUGUACACACCGCCCGUCACACCAUGGGAGUGGGCUGCAAAAGAAGUAGGUAGUUUAACCUUCGGGGGGACGCUUACCACUUUGUGGUUCAUGACUGGGGUGAAGUCGUAACAAGGUAGCGCUAGGGGAACCUGGCGCUGGAUCACCUCCUUAAACGAUGAU